AAAAACCUAUAUUGUAAUUUCAUGAAAUUAGAAAAAAAGGAAUUAGCUGAUUUUUAAGCAGUCAGUGAAAAUAUUGAAAGUUAAUGAAAAGCAGAAUCGAAAGAAGGAAGUGGGAUUCCAAGCAAUGAGUUAUAGAAGGGAUCACCGCUCUUCAAAAGCAACUCUAUUUGGUGGUUUUGAUAAGCUUGAAGAAGGUGGUCUCAGGACUUCUUCAUCUUUCUCUCACGAAAUUAGGGAGCAUGACAAUGACAAAGCUAUAGACAACUUGCAAGACAGAGUUGCUUUUCUGAAAAGAUUAACGGGUGAUAUACAUGAUGAGGUGGAGAGCCAUAACUGUUUGCUCGACCGAAUGGGCAAUGGCAUGGAUGCUACAAGGGGUAUUAUGUCAGGCACUAUGGAUCGGUUCAAGAAGGUGUUUGAGAAGAAGUCCAAUCGGAGAAUGUGUACUCUGGUGGUGGGCUUUGUGGCUUUCUUCUUAAUUAUAUACUAUCUCAUUAGGUACUGAAGUUUGUUUUUUGGCCAAGAUGGUACUGAAGUUGAUUGCAUGAUUAGCUGAACCUACUUGUCUCUAAUUGUAGUUAGUCAGCAAUGAAAUUCAGGAGUUGGAAUAUUCUAUUUUCAAGUGAUUAAAGGCAUUCUUUAAAUGUUGCGUGAUCUGAGCAGUUGUCAAGUGACAUGAUACCAUCCUCUCCACAAAACUUCUUGUAACAUUGUUAUCUAAUUAAUUAUGACCAGAUAUGUGCCCAAACAAGAGUCAUCAAUUAUGCACAAAAUCACAAAGAAACUAGUUUUUCUUCUUGUGUUGGACUUGAUCGUAAAUGCCUCUUUGUAAAAGUGCUAACUGAAGAGAGCUCAAGACUAUUGAGGGCCUAACCACUUUCUGUUCUGAUAAUCCAUAAGGCUUUGCUUGCUAAGAAGGAAAGAAAGAGGUAUGUCCGUGGUUGGAGAAACCACUAAAUUCUUAAAGUUGGAACAUAUACAGAAUUGAAUAUCAGUCAAGGCACGAAAAUCCUAUUCUUUUCUUGAGUAUCUGGUACUGCUCGUCUGUGUGCUGAGAUGGCCACCCAUUCGUAAGUAAGAAAUUCUGAAUUGCUAAUGGCCUGACUGAAGGCGGGCGGGCCACCUUUGAAUGUUGUAGCGUUGAUUUCGGCAAACAGUUUUUUGAAGCGAAAAAUGUGAAUGAAACAGAGGAAAAGAAAGGAUUGGAAUUUAGAUAGUGUACUAUAGUAACAUAUAAGAACAUGUUAUCAUGUUAACAUGAAAAAGAAAAUUUUAAAUAUGAUGAACAAUUUUGUAAACAUGUAAUACAUGCUGAU
Durio zibethinus is the source of this 1316-nucleotide non-coding RNA. The record is from RefSeq and is a predicted model, not a curated record. Lineage: Eukaryota; Viridiplantae; Streptophyta; Magnoliopsida; Malvales; Malvaceae.